This 515-nucleotide long non-coding RNA is filed under the name Homo sapiens (human). Its description in RNAcentral is "HSALNT0327767". The record is from RNAcentral. Lineage: Eukaryota; Metazoa; Chordata; Mammalia; Primates; Hominidae.
GCGUCGUCCCAGACACCCGAUGUUACAAGACCGUUAUAAAAAGUCUCAUUUUCACUGUUCUUCGUGCCUCUAAGUCCAUUCUUUGGGUUUGAACGGGUGAGUGUGUUUCUCACAACCUGAGGGCCCGUUCGGGAUCUCUGUGCCUACGUGGAGUGGGACUCCGGCUGAGAGAAGAGACAUGUCCCACCCGAUUUUUGUGCCCCACUCUGUCUGGGUGUCCUGGCUCCCCACAGAAGCCAUAGAUAAACCCGAGACUGUUAUUCAGGAGACGGUGGAGGUGACGCAGGGAGAAAAGCAGGCACUGCGGCAAACAGGCAACCUCGUGCACCAGCCAAGGUUGGGUAUUUCCUUCAGCCUAUUAAAGGAAUUGGGAACCUGUGGUACCGUGAAAAUAGCCUGCAGACCAGAGAAUAAGGAAAAGUUGUUUCCUGCCAAAGAACAAGCAGUAUUGUGAAAUAUAAAAUUUUAUUGUUGCGGUGAAAGAAAAUUUCAGUAUCAAAUUUUUGAAAACAGUA